GAAAGAGCCACUGCAGCUCACAUCCUUUGGGACUGUGCUAAGAAUCCGCAUGAAGCUGCAACAAUACCAACGAUCCCGCCGCGGCUCGAGGCCGCAACGAGAUGCUAUGACCAAGAUGUCCAAACCCAGGCCGUCCAGCAGAUCUCGGCGGCCCUCGAAAGGCAACGACCGAGCGAAACCGGAGGGAGGCUGCCACCCCAAAAGAGGGGCAGGCGCGGUCGACCAAAGGGAAUAGUGCGGCCGCGGCCGAAGUAGAGGCGCCACACGCCGCGAAGGCGUCAUGGCCGCGUCACGGUAACGCCGCACUAACAGGGGAAGGCUAACCGUUCAGCAGGCGUUCACAACAAAGUUUCGUCACUCACUCAUGUGAAGAAGUACACACAAAGUACCGAGCGCAAGAGCAGGCGACAUUGCGGCCGUCCUCAACAAGACGAAAAGAAAGACGAGGGAGGCUCGUGCAGCGCAUGAAAAGGGGCUCGCGCAACGGAGAUGGUUGGAACGCCGGCACGACUAGGGCCGCCGGGCCUCCGGAACCCACAUCUACCGGUGAGGUUCACCUGACCGAGCGUCCAUCUUAGGGACAGUGAACGCCUCGGGUCGUUGCACGGCAAGAGACCCCGGAACGGCCUGCUGCAGCCUCGAACCCGCAUCUACGCGCGAGGUUCGGGAGAGCGAGCAUCCGUCAUCGAGACGAGGAGCGCCUCGGGUCGUUGCCUUGCACGAGGCCUCAGGUCGGUCUGCUGGCAUCUUGGAACCCGCUUCUACGCGCGAGGUUCGGGUGAUCGGGCGACCGAGUGGCCUGUUCUCGUCUACGGAGCUGUGGGCCGUCCACCUUUCCUGCCCCGCCCUGCUGCUGUGCUUGCUCUUCCACGCCGGUCAUCACUCUACCAGCGAGUGUCCCACCUCAAGGACUCUACGCCUCACCACAUUGUGGACUUCAACCGCAACCUCUGUCAUGAAACGAAUUACCAAUCAGACCAGCCCCAUCUAACUACGCUUUCAAGGAUACCCUCCUAGGGGACUUGGAGCCCACACGCCCGUUCCAGAAAACCACAGGCGGCGCUCCAUUUAAGGUCACCAGCGACCUCCGGCGGAGUGAUGUUCCUCCUGCUAGUAUCAUGGACCUGGGAGCUGUCGAAGGGCACGUUGAGAUCUACGGAACGCCUAUCGUCAGACUUACGUGGACUUGGCCGGGUGCGCACAUGACACACGGAGUAGGCAAGCAGAACUUCGAAGGGCUGUGUACUGAUCAACGUCGAGCUCAGGUUACCGUCAUGCAAGAGCUUCUGCCCAGGAGCAUCCGCCACACAAACUACAGACCCUGACAUCAUGAAGAAUGAUGGUACCUACAGCGGCCACUUCACCCAGUUCACGGGCCGAGUAAGGUACUCUGUAAUGGCAUACGUGAACGGAGGCAAGAAGACUAGACAUGCGUACCGUAGGCCGGGAUUCCCCCCCGACGCGGGGGGCUGGGAUGAAAACCACAAACGCGUGUCAUCAAACGAAUUACCAAUCAGCCAACUACACUUUCAAGGAUACCCUUUUAGGGGACUUGGAGCCCACGCGCCCGUUCCAGAGAAUCACAGGUGGUGCUUCCUUCAAGGUCACCAGGGACCUCCGGCGGAGUGAUGUUCCUCCUGCUAGUAUCAUGGACCUGAGAGCUGUCGAAGGGCACGUUGAUAUUGACGGAACGCCUAUCGUCAGACUUACGUAGACUUGGCCGGGUGCGCACAUGACACACGGAAUAGAACUUCGAAGGGCUGUGUACUGAUCAACGUCGAGCUCAGGUGACCGUCAUGCAAGAGCUUCUGCCCAGGAGCAUCUGCCACACAAACUACAGACCCUGACAUCAUGAAGAACGACGGUACCUACAGCGGCCAUUUCACCCAGUUUACGGGCCGAGGAAGGUACUCUGUAAUGGCAUACGUGAACGGAGGCAAGAAGACUAGACAUGCGUACCGUAGGCCGGGAUUCCCCCCCGACGCGGGGGGCUGGGAUGAAAACCACAAACGCGUGUCUUCAAACGAAUUACCAAUCAGACCAGCACCAGCCAACUACACUUUCAAGGACACCCUCCUAGGGGACUUGAGCCCACGCGCCCGUUCCAGAGAAUCACAGGUGGUGCUUCCUUCAAGGUCACCAGUGACCUCCGGCGGAGUGAUGUUCCUCCUGCUAGUAUCAUGGACCUGAGAGCUGUCGAAGGGCACGUUGAGAUCGACGGAGCGCCUAUCGUCAGACUUACGUGGACUUGGCCUGGGGCGCACAUGACACACGGAGUAGGCAAGCAGAACUUCGAAGGACUGCGUACUGAUCAACGCCGAGCUCAGGUGACCGUCAUGCAAGAGCUUCUGCCCAGGAGCAUCCGCCACACAAACUACAGACCCUGACAUCAUGAAAAAUGGCGGUACCUACAGCGGCCACUUCACCCAGUUCACGGGCCGAGAAGGUACUCUGUCAUGGCCUACGUGAACGGAGGCAAGAAGACCAGACAUGCGUACCGUAGGCCGGGAUUCCCCCCCGACGCCGGGGGCUGGGAUGAAAACCACAAACGCGUGUCAUCAAACGAAUUACCAAUCAGACCAGCACCAGCCAACUACACUUUCAAGGAUACCCUCCUAGGGGACUUGGAGCCAACGCGCCCGUUCCAGAGAAUCACAGGCGGCGCUUCCUUCAAGGUCACCAGGGACCUCCGGCGGAGUGAUGUUCCUCCUGCUAGUAUCAUGGACCUGAGAGCUGUCGAAGGGCACGUUGAGAUCGACGGAACGCCUAUUGUCAGACUUCGGUGGACUUGGCCGGGUGCGCACAUGACACACGGAGUGGGCAAGCAGAACUUCGAAGGACUGCGUACUGAUCAACGCCGAGCUCAGGUUACCGUCAUGCAAGAGCUUCUGCCCAGGAGCAUCCGCCACACAAACUACAGACCCUGACAUCAUGAAAAAUGACGGUACCUACAGCGGCCACUUCACCCAGUUCACGGGCCGAGGAAGGUACUCUGUCAUGGCCUACGUGAACGGAGGCAAGAAGACUAGACAUGCGUACCGUAGGCCGGGAUUCCCCCCCCCCCCCCCGGCGCGGGGGGCUGGGAUGGAAACCACAAACGAGUGCCAUCAAAGGAAGUACCAAUCCGACCAGCGCCAGCCAACUACGCUUUCAAGGAUACCCUGCUAGGCGACUUGGAGCCCACGCGCCCGUUCCAGAGAAUCACAGGCGGCGCUUCCUUCAAGGUCACCAGGGACCUCCGGCGGAGUGAUGUUCCUCCUGCUAGUAUCAUGGACCUGAGAGCUGUCGAAGGGCAAGUUGAGAUCGACGGAACGCCUAUCGUCAGACUUACGUGGACUGGGCCUGGUGCGCACAUGACACACGGAGUGGGGAACGCCUCGGGUGGUUGCACGGCACGAGACCCCGGAACGACCUGCUGCAGCCUCGAACCCGCAUCUACGCGCGACGUUCGGGAGAGCGAGCGUCCGUCGCCGAGACGAGGAGUGCCUCGGGUCGUUGCCUUGCACGAGGCCUCAGGUUGGCCUGCCGGGAUCUUGGAACCCGCUUCUACGCGCGAGGUUCGGGUGACCGGGGGACCGAGUGGCCUGUUCUCGUCUACGGAGCUGUGGGCCGUCCACCUUUUCCUGUCCCGUGCUGCUGCGUCUGACAUUCCACGCCGGCCAUCACUCGAUGAACAAGUGUCCCACCUCAAGGACUCUACGUGUCACCACAUUCCGGACUUCAACCGCAACCUCUGUCAUUAAAUGAAUUACCAGCCCCAGCCAACUACGCUUUCAAGGAUACCCUCCUAGGGGACUUCCAUGGAGCCCACGCGCCCGUUCCAGAGAAUCACAGGCGGCGCUUCCUUUAAGGUCACCAGGGACCUCCGGUGGAGUGAUGUUCCUCCUGCUAAAAUCAUGGACCUGAGAGCUGUCGAAGGGCACGUUGAGAACGACGGAACGCCUAUUGUCAGACUUACAUGGACAUGGCCUGGUACUCACAUGACACACGGAGUGGGUGUGUAUUGUCUGUGAGCGCCCAUUUCGAACUCAGGAAGAAAUGACGUCAGAAUACUCAACAGGAGCAUUAUGACUGGCAUUACGAAGGAGGCAAGCUCUUCGUUUUCUGCGUGGUUAACGUAUAGAACACCCCUCUUUAACGUAUUAUACACAAAGGACGCAAUGUAACAGAUUGCUGACUACAACACUUCAGUCGCUAGUGAGUUCAGCGUUCCACAGAGUUUUUAUAUCUGUACCACACAGGAUGUUGAACUCUUGUCUUCUCCAGAAAAAGACCUCACAGUCCGAAAACAUCAUCCGAAAUCUUUAAACAUCACUUCCGCUCUUGAAAGUGCAAUCAGAUGUAAUAUAAAAGCUUCAAAUCGUUCUAGUCACAUGCCUCUAUGUCUCAGCAUGACAAAAAAAAUUGCCGAAUUCAUACAGAGCAAGUAUUAGUGGUGUGGUAAAUGGAAAAGUCAAAAAUAUCACUACCUUUAUUGACGCCAUUUAAAAUCUAUACGCAACAAAUCUGUGGGAACGACGAAAGAGAGUAAAAAGGAUAAUUGCGAAAUUCCAGUAGAGCAGGCGAACCAUAACUGCAAAAAAAAAAACUUGAGGAAUUGUGAAUGAAGUCGUUCGCAAUCAUAGUGCACCAAGGACACUUCCUGAUGUUAUUGCUGUCAGCACAAUUUGAUUAUUUAACGUCUAUUUCUUUCGCUUGGUCCAUCUUCAGCUGCAAAAUUUGCGGAGCUCAGUAAUGAACGUAGUCUUCAGAAUUGCAGUGUUAAUUUUCUUUCACUGCACCACAUGAACGUUCAAGAAACGACAUCUAUAGUGUUAAGAAUGUCAUCAAAAGUCAGCAGGAUUCGAUGUGGUAAGAGUAAGGGUCGUUAAAGGAAACCUUUACGCUCUCGGACAAGUUUGAUGCCGCCUAUUCAGUGAUUCUGUAAAAGUAGCAAAGCACCGGACUUGAGUAAAACAUCAAGGGUUGUUUCGAUAUAUUAAAAGUACGAUCGCUCUCACCCGUCUAAUUACAUGCCAAUCUGCUCUUCCGCAUAAAUAAGUUUUGUUUUUAAGAAAUCACUGAAAACCUUGUUUAUAAAUAUAUCGCAAAGUUUAACGGGGUCUCUCAUUAGCAACACGGUUUCAGACCAGAUUAGGCUGCCUGCAUCACCAUUAGGACACAGCUUUUACUUACGAUACGUUAUUACCUGUCAUUCUCAAAGCAAUCGACACUGUUGAUUGCUCUGUACUAGUAUAUAAACUGCCAGAUUCUGGUUGUCGGGGGGUAUGUUUGCGCUUUUUGGAAUUACCUUAGGGACUUUACCAAUCAGUCAUAAUGAAUGCCAUGACGUGUUCUUUGCGGUACCGUCGCACCAGUGUUCCUGCAGAAAUGGCGCGCGGACUAUUUAUUACUUUUUGCCUUAGAUGUGGAUGAUUUGCUGCACGUAGUGAAGCCUUCUAAUGUGCUCAUCUAGGCUGAAAAUGCAUGCAUGAUAGUUCGACCUAUUAAUGGAGAUCAUCUUGAGCUGAAACCAAACGUCGGAUUAAAGAAUAUCUGCCAAUGGGUAUGAAAAAUCCUUAGUCUUAACACACGCCCACAAAAAAAUGUGGUCUUCCAAAUCCAUGUGGAAAUCAUUAAACACUAAAGAAUUGAUGCUCAACUAAAUACGUUGGAGUCAUUGUAUAUAACCACUUGCACUGACAUUCGCCGAUUGAAAGUGUUUGCUGCAAAUUAGCUUCUGGAUGUCGUCCGCUAACUCAGGAGGAGGAGUAAACGCUUAUUGGGCGAAUCAGGUAGGAGGUGGCCUUUCUUCACCCUAGGUGGUCGGCUCUCUCAGUCCAGGAAGCCAUUGGCUGAUCGCGCGGCACGUGAUCUGUCCGCAAAACAUUGCUGAUCCUCCAGGCUCGGUGGGGUUAGCAUUGUCUCCCCCGUUUCUUCGGUCACUUACAGCGAUUCUGUUCGUGAUAAUGAUUCUAGUCAUUUGUCGCCAGGGCCAGAAGUGUAGCGAUUCGGUAGCUUCAUCUGGAGUGCCUUUAUCGCAUUGCUGGCACACCAACACUGCGUGUUCUAGGGUGUCCGGUACUUCACCGAAUCGGCAUGGACAUGACAAUUGUGCGGGGUGCAUCCGGUACAUGAUAAUUCCAUGACCAUAUCUAUUCCUUAAUAGUCUCCCGAGGGUGGUGGCUUCUUCCUUAGACAUCACAGCCAAAUAAAACCAUCCUUUUCUUGUACCUAGCGUUGCGUUGCACUCCACGUUGCCCUAGACAAUUAUCUUUAGGUAAAUUGAACAUUCCUCUCGCUAAUAAGGUAUAGGUGAACCUGUACUACAAUAAUAUGGUAAUAAAAUUUUGAACACGGCUCCUUUUUUAAUAAAUAUGUCCUCUCUUUUACUCACGCACUGCAACAAUACAUUGAACAAUUUGCAACCAUCUGACAGGAUCGCAUAAUUAUGAAACCUGUAACUCAUUAUUUUUUUACUCUUCUCAAGGUUAUUUGCAUACUGUAGUUUCCCUCUCCUUGUUUAGAUAUCACUUACUCCUUUCAACAAUGCCGUGAAUGCACGACGGUACAAUAAGCAAAUUAAAUUAUUUGAGUAAAUUGUAAGUUUUUGGGCCAGUAAUUGUAAGAAUUUCCCAUUACCAAAAAUGUUUUGUGGCAUACAAUGUUCUGCUUUUUGGUGAUACGUCUUCAAACACGUAAAAUCUUCAAGUCGCACAAUUUCGCUUGUGCACCUUUAAUGAAAUACCAUUUUCUCCCCUGAAUUCCGACUGGUUCUAGCAAAACAAAGGGUGAUUUCUUUCUAGAAGGACGAUAACCUUCCUCAUAUGACAUUUUCACUGAAGAAAAAAUCUACUCGUGACUCUUCUAAGUGUUACCUUUUCUGAACAAACACUGCUGCAACAAUUAUCGCAAUCAAACAAGGUUUGGGCAAACUCAAGAUUAACAGGAAAGGAGAAUAGAUAAUCCUUCCAACUGACCGAGUUUAUUUCUCAUCCGGUGCUGCUUCGUACUAGGCCAGUUCACUGGCAACUCCAUCGAAUCUCUGUGAUAACAUGACUUGCUCAUUGCGAUAGCCUUGCGAUAAAGAUCGGCUGUGUUUGGUCGACACUAGUGUAAAAGUUCUUCUAAACUCGUAUAAACAGCCCCGGGCGGUUCGCAGGUGCAGUAACUAACAUAUAUUGCGUAUGGCCCGAAUUUAUAGUUCUAAACGCUACCGAGGAAUCAUUAAUCGGGAUAUAAUGCUUCCACAGUUUAGCAACGACAUCAGCAAAUGUGCAUCAAUGAAGGUCAGCUCGUGAAGCAGCAUGGAGAUAUAAAAAUUAAAGAAUAGUUAUUCGGAUGUCACUAAGGUUUGGCGUACAAAGCAAGAAAGUGGCUGUGGUUGUAAGGAAGUACAUAUUGGAAAUGCAUGACAGAAUUUCAGAUCAGUACGACUGCAUUAUUUCAUAUUUUGGUGCCUCUGCAAGGAUUUUUUAUAUGGCCGACUCCUUUUAUCCUCACUGAACGAUUACCCGUGCAGCGUUGCAGCGUGCGCAUAUAGGGUCGUGGGUUGCGCGUCUGAUGCGCCGCACCUUUCCAGCAAGCAUGGAGACUGACCUAGAAUUUGAUUAACAUUGUGCAAGUGUUUUACGUAUAUUCGUAUAUGAAGACAAGUUUUCCAUUGCUUUAAAGCACAACUCUCAAACUUUUCUAGCAACCAAGGAGUUCAGAGUGCCUUAGCCUGGUUGAAAGAGAUGUGUCAUCAAACGAAUUACCAAUCAGACCAGCACCAGCCAACUACACUUUCAAGGAUACCCUCCUAGGGGACUUGGAGCCCACGCGCCCGUUCCAGAGAAUCACAGGCGGCGCUUCCUUCAAGGUCACCAGGGACCUCCGGCGGAGUGAUGUUCCUCCUGCUAAUAUCAUGGACCUGAGAGCUGUCGAAGGGCACGUUGAGAUCGACGGAACGCCUAUCGUCAGACUUACGUGGACUGGGCCUGGUGCGCACAUUACACACGGAGUGGUGUCAUGAAACGAAUUACCAAUCAGACCAGCCCCAGCCAACUACGCUUUCAAGGAUACCCUCCUAGGGGACUUGGAGCCCAUGCGCCCGUUCCAGAGAAUCACAGGCGGCGGUUCCUUUAAGGUCACCAGGGACCUCCGGCGGAGUGAUGUUCCUCCUGCUAGUAUCACGGACCUGAGAGCUGUCGGAGGGCACGUUGAGAUCGACGGAACGCCUAUCGUCAGACUUACAUGGACGUGGCCUGGGGCGCACAUGACACACGGAGUAGGCAAUCAGAACUUCGAAGGGCUGUGUACUGAUCAACGCCGAGCUCAAGUUACCGUCAUGCAAGAGCUUCUGCCCAGGAGCAUCCGCCACACAAACUACAGACCCUGACAUCAUGAAAAAUGGCGGUACCUACAGCGGCCACUUCACACAGUUCACGGGCCGAGGAAGGUACUCUGUCAUGGCAUACGUUAACGGAGGCAAGAAGACUAGACAUGCGUACCGUAGGCCGGGAUUCCCCCCCCCCCCCCCCGACGCGGGGGGCUGGAAUGAAAACCACAAACGCAUGUCAUCAAACGAAUUACCAAUCAGACCAGCACCAGCCAACUACACUUUCAAGGAUAACCUCCUAGGGGACUUGGAGCCCACGCACCCAUUCCAGAGAAUCACAGGCGGUGCUUCCUUUAAGGUCACCAGGGACCUCCGGCGGAGUGAUGUUCCUCCUGCUAAUAUCAUGGACCUGAGAGCUGUCGAAGGGCACGUUGAGAUCGACGGAACGCCUAUCGUCAGACUUACGUGGACUUGGCCUGGUGCGCACAUGACACACGGCGUGGCUGCGGCAGUGCAGAUCAGAGGUGGCAAUAACCGCGGCAACUUUGCAACGGAUUUCGACAGCUUGGAGGUUAUGUCGAAUGUCGUGAAAGGCAAACCUUCGUCCCCUCCCCGCCGGUUUAAAGCAUGACGUCACCAUCGCUCUUCCCCGGAACUGGCAGACGAAGACUCACGGGGACAAGGACUUCGUCCUGAAGGCCUACCUAUAGCGGCGCGUGUUAUUAACGUGCACGGCCUAAAGUCGCAGCCGUCCAGGAAAGUUAUUGCAGAGUUUGAACUUUUGAAUUUUACUGAAGUUUCGAGCGAAAAUGAUGAACCGUCGGUCACAUAAGUGGAGGAAGAUCGAAUAAAAAAGAACAAACCGUCCAUGACAACGGAUGAGGUUGAUGGGAGCGAAUAUUACGAACCGUCCGUCAUCGUUUGCAUGAAGUGUUGCAACACUUCAUGAAAUAUGAAGUGUUGCAACCGUCACUGACGUUAUUCGCGCAACAUAUUACCUAGUCUGUGUUACUGCGUUUCAUCACUUUACUCUUCUAUUGUGUAUUUUAUUUUUACUGUUUGAUAUCUUCUUCAAAUGUUGAAUUCCUGAUGCUGGCUGCAGAGCUUCAACCUGCACCCUUAUUUUUUUUUGUUUACAUUUUGCCAGUUUUGUGAAACUGCUCAUUUCUUUUUCCCACCCUGCUAUAAUCCCGAUACCGGGAUUCCAGUAUCAAUAAAAGAACAAAAUAAAACACUAAAUAAAUCAAAUAAAACAACAAAUGAAUUAAGACUAAUUAUGUUAUCAGGUCGAAUGUAAAAAAUAAUCUCAGUAUCUCCAACCGACGGCAAGCAACAUUAUCUUGGUUCUGUCCAGCUACGUGGCAUUUGCAUAUCUUUAAAUCUUGGUGGAUUAUAGUUGGGACACCCUGUACACACAGGACCAAGUUCACUAUAUGCUCUUUUAUAUAGAAGGAGCUAGACAACUGACAAUU
Dermacentor albipictus is the source of this 9771-nucleotide non-coding RNA. The record is from RefSeq and is a predicted model, not a curated record. NCBI's taxonomy places the organism in Eukaryota, Metazoa, Arthropoda, Arachnida, Ixodida, Ixodidae.